UCCCCGAUAGCUCAAUGGUAGAGCGCCCGCCUGUUAAGCGGUAGGUUCUUGGUUCGAGUCCAAGUCGGGGAGCCA
Molecule: transfer RNA, 75 nt
Filed under: Candidatus Beckwithbacteria bacterium
Lineage: Bacteria; Candidatus Beckwithiibacteriota
Description: tRNA-Asn
Rfam family: tRNA
About the family: Transfer RNA (tRNA) molecules are approximately 80 nucleotides in length. Their secondary structure includes four short double-helical elements and three loops (D, anti-codon, and T loops).
Source: RNAcentral